This 450-nucleotide ribosomal RNA is filed under the name uncultured bacterium. RNAcentral's name for it is "partial 16S ribosomal RNA". It matches the Rfam family "Bacterial small subunit ribosomal RNA", at positions 354 to 796 of the family's 1533-position model. The record is from RNAcentral.
GUAGGGAAUCUUCGGCAAUGGGGGCAACCCUGACCGAGCAACGCCGCGUGAGUGAAGAAGGUUUUCGGAUCGUAAAGCUCUGUUGUAAGAGAAGAACGUGUGUGAGAGUGGAAAGUUCACACAGUGACGGUAACUUACCAGAAAGGGACGGCUAACUACGUGCCAGCAGCCGCGGUAAUACGUAGGUCCCGAGCGUUGUCCGGAUGUAUUGGGCGUAAAGCGAGCGCAGGCGGUUUAAUAAGUCUGAAGUUAAAGGCAGUGGCUUAACCAUUGUUCGCUUUGGAAACUGUUAAACUUGAGUGCAGAAGGGGAGAGUGGAAUUCCAUGUGUAGCGGUGAAAUGCGUAGAUAUAUGGAGGAACACCGGUGGCGAAAGCGGCUCUCUGGUCUGUAACUGACGCUGAGGCUCGAAAGCGUGGGGAGCAAACAGGAUUAGAUACCCUUGUAGUCC